CAACGGGGUGCCUGCGCUAACGCGCAAGCUGAGAAAAUACCCGUCGAACCUGAUCCGGAUAACGCCGGCGAAGGGAUUUGAGG
This 83-nucleotide non-coding RNA is filed under the name Escherichia albertii. RNAcentral's name for it is "TPP riboswitch (THI element)". It matches the Rfam family "TPP riboswitch aptamer (THI element)", at positions 9 to 90 of the family's 105-position model. Rfam says of the family: Vitamin B(1) in its active form thiamin pyrophosphate (TPP) is an essential coenzyme that is synthesised by coupling of pyrimidine and thiazole moieties in bacteria. The record is from RNAcentral. Lineage: Bacteria; Pseudomonadati; Pseudomonadota; Gammaproteobacteria; Enterobacterales; Enterobacteriaceae.